UUAAGGGUCAUGAAGGGAUAAAAUCAGAUUCGUAAUCAGUAGGUCGAGAGUUCAAUUCUCUUUCCUGGCUCCA
Molecule: transfer RNA, 73 nt
Filed under: Pseudomonadota bacterium
Lineage: Bacteria; Pseudomonadati; Pseudomonadota
Description: Proteobacteria bacterium (wastewater metagenome) tRNA-Thr
Source: RNAcentral